This 465-nucleotide ribosomal RNA is filed under the name uncultured bacterium. Its description in RNAcentral is "partial 16S ribosomal RNA". It matches the Rfam family "Bacterial small subunit ribosomal RNA", at positions 28 to 507 of the family's 1533-position model. The record is from RNAcentral.
GACGAACGCUGGCGGCGUGCUUAACACAUGCAAGUCGUACGGUAAGGCCCUUUCGGGGGUACACGAGUGGCGAACGGGUGAGUAACACGUGAGUAACCUGCCCACAACUUUGGGAUAACGCUAGGAAACUGGUGCUAAUACUGGAUAUGUGCUCCUUCUGCAUGGUGGGGGUUGGAAAGCUCCGGCGGUUGUGGAUGGACUCGCGGCCUAUCAGCUUGUUGGUGGGGUAGUGGCCUACCAAGGCGGCGACGGGUAGCCGGCCUGAGAGGGUGACCGGCCACAUUGGGACUGAGAUACGGCCCAGACUCCUACGGGAGGCAGCAGCGGGGAAUAUUGCACAAUGGGCGCAAGCCUGAUGCAGCAACGCCGCGUGCGGGAUGACGGCCUUCGGGUUGUAAACCGCUUUCAGCAGGGACGAAGCUUUUUGUGACGGUACCUGCAGAAGAAGCACCGGCUAACUACGUG